AGUCGAGGGGUAUAAGUAGCUUGCUACUUAGAGACCGGCGCACGGGUGCGUAACGCGUAUGCAAUCUGCCUUUGACAAAGGGAUAGCCCAGAGAAGUUUGGAUUAAUACCUUAUAGUAUAUUGAUGUGGCAUCACAUUAUUAUUAAAGAUUUAUCGGUCAAAGAUGAGCAUGCGUCCCAUUAGCUAGUUGGUAAGGUAACGGCUUACCAAGGCAACGAUGGGUAGGGGUCCUGAGAGGGAGAUCCCCCACACUGGUACUGAGACACGGACCAGACUCCUACGGGAGGCAGCAGUGAGGAAUAUUGGACAAUGGGCGCAAGCCUGAUCCAGCCAUGCCGCGUGCAGGAUGAAGCAUCUAUGGUGUGUAAACUGCUUUUGUACGGGAAGAAACCCCGCCACGUGUGGCGGACUGACGGUACCGUAAGAAUAAGGAUCGGCUAACUCCGUGCCAGCAGCCGCGGUAAUACGGAGGAUCCAAGCGUUAUCCGGAAUCAUUGGGUUUAAA
Molecule: ribosomal RNA, 505 nt
Filed under: uncultured Bacteroidota bacterium
Lineage: Bacteria; Pseudomonadati; Bacteroidota
Description: bacterial SSU rRNA
Rfam family: Bacterial small subunit ribosomal RNA
Source: RNAcentral